UUUAAUUAAUUUACUCCUAUAUAUAUUGCAUCUAACGGUGUCGGUUUCUCACUCUUUAUAACCCGUAUUGUCAACUAAGAAGUGAUCCACUUUUCAAGCAAAGGUUGUUUGGAGACAUGAAUCCAGAAGACGUGGUUAUCAUUCUCAGUGAUGAUGAUGAUGAUGUGUCCAUCAACGACUCGGUCUACAUCGUCGAAGACAUCCAGAACAACGUAUACCCAGUAGAUCAGUCC
This is a long non-coding RNA of Oncorhynchus tshawytscha (Chinook salmon), 233 nucleotides long. RefSeq lists it as uncharacterized. The record is from RefSeq and is a predicted model, not a curated record. The transcript is spliced from 3 exons. NCBI's taxonomy places the organism in Eukaryota, Metazoa, Chordata, Actinopteri, Salmoniformes, Salmonidae.